RNAcentral lists this long non-coding RNA (266 nucleotides) under Rattus norvegicus (Norway rat). RNAcentral's name for it is "long non-coding RNA NONRATT024361". The record is from RNAcentral. Lineage: Eukaryota; Metazoa; Chordata; Mammalia; Rodentia; Muridae.
AGGGGAGCAUGGAAUGGGAUUUGAACAUUUCACCAAUGCCCUUUUAGUGUGUGGGCAACCGAAAGAGCUACUGAUGUUUUUCAAAAACACACUCCCUCCUGAGGUUUUUCAGAUGCUUUUGUACAAAAUUCCCAUUAUUUGCCAGCAACUUGAGGCAGACAUGCAUGAGCAAGAAGUACUUGACGGAUGAUCCUGACUGAAAACAUCUCAGCGCAUCCACACCCAGUCAGAGUAUGUUCUGUCCAGUAAAAACAACUGCUCAAUGA